UGGUAGGUAGCUCAGGAGUUAGAGCGCUUAAACAUCUUUGUUCAAAACUUGCCCUAUCGGGGACGACGAAUAAAGAUUACCGCCUGUCAAGCGAGAGGUCGCGGGUGCAAAUCCCGCUCUACCAC
Molecule: transfer RNA, 125 nt
Filed under: Rivularia sp. PCC 7116
Lineage: Bacteria; Bacillati; Cyanobacteriota; Cyanophyceae; Nostocales; Rivulariaceae
Description: tRNA-Und (NNN) (tRNA-Und-NNN-5-1)
Source: RNAcentral